RNAcentral lists this transfer RNA (85 nucleotides) under Mustela putorius furo (domestic ferret). It matches the Rfam family "tRNA". From Rfam's summary of the family: Transfer RNA (tRNA) molecules are approximately 80 nucleotides in length. Their secondary structure includes four short double-helical elements and three loops (D, anti-codon, and T loops). Lineage: Eukaryota; Metazoa; Chordata; Mammalia; Carnivora; Mustelidae. The record is from Rfam by way of RNAcentral.
GCCUGGGUAGCUCAGUGGGUUAAAGCCUCUGCCUUCGGAUCAGGUCAUGAUCCCAGGGUCAUGGGUUCGAGCCCCACAUCAGGCU